GACAGAGGGUGCAAACGUUGUUCGGAAUUACUGGGCGUAAAGCGCGUGUAGGCGGCCAUCUAAGUCGGGCGUGAAAUCCCACGGCUCAACCGUGGAAGUGCACUCGAAACUGGAUGGCUAGAGUCCUGGAGAGGAAGGUGGAAUGCUUGGUGUAGAGGUGAAAUUCGUAGAUAUCGAGAGGAAUACCUGCGGCGAAAGCGGCCUUCUGGACGAACACUGACGCUGAGACACGAAAGCGUGGGGAGCAAACAGG
RNAcentral lists this ribosomal RNA (253 nucleotides) under uncultured bacterium. RNAcentral describes it as "partial 16S ribosomal RNA". It matches the Rfam family "Bacterial small subunit ribosomal RNA", at positions 524 to 776 of the family's 1533-position model. The record is from RNAcentral.